This 440-nucleotide ribosomal RNA is filed under the name uncultured bacterium. RNAcentral's name for it is "partial 16S ribosomal RNA". It matches the Rfam family "Bacterial small subunit ribosomal RNA", at positions 338 to 795 of the family's 1533-position model. The record is from RNAcentral.
CCUACGGGUGGCAGCAGUGGGGGAUAUUGCACAAUGGGGGGAACCCUGAUGCAGCGACGCCGCGUGGGUGAAGAAGCGCCUCGGCGCGUAAAGCCCUGUCAGCAGGGGAGAAAAUGACGGUACCUGAAGAAGAAGCCCCGGUUAACUACGUGCCAGCAGCCGCGGGAAUACGUAGGGGGCAAGCGUUAUCCGGAUGUACUGGGUUUAAAGGGGGCGCAGACGGGGAUGCAAGCCAGGUGUGAAAGCUCGGGGCCCAACCCCGGGACUGCGCUUGGAACUGCGUGGCUGGAGUGCAGGAGGGGCAGGCGGAAUGCCUGGUGUAGCGGUGAAAUGCGUAGAUAUCAGGAGGAACACCGAUGGCGAAGGCGGCCUGCUGGACUGCAACUGACGUUGAGGCCCGAAAGCGUGGGGAGCAAACAGGAUUAGAUACCCCGGUAGUC